GUGGGGAAUUUUGGACAAUGGGCGCAAGCCUGAUCCAGCAAUGCCGCGUGUGUGAAGAAGGCCUUCGGGUUGUAAAGCACUUUUGGCAGGAAAGAAAUAGCGCGUGCUAAUACCAUGCGCGAAUGACGGUACCUGCAGAAUAAGCACCGGCUAACUACGUGCCAGCAGCCGCGGUAAGACGUAGGGUGCAAGCGUUAAUCGGAAUUACUGGGCGUAAAGCGUGCGCAGGCGGUUUUGUAAGACAGGUGUGAAAUCCCCGGGCUCAACCUGGGAACUGCACUUGUGACUGCAAGGCUAGAGUGUGUCAGAGGGAGGUGGAAUUCCGCGUGUAGCAGUGAAAUGCGUAGAGAUGCGGAGGAACACCGAUGGCGAAGGCAGCCUCCUGGGAUAACACUGACGCUCAGGCACGAAAGCGUGGGGAGCAAACAGGAUUAGAUACACGGGUAGUCC
This 450-nucleotide ribosomal RNA is filed under the name uncultured bacterium. RNAcentral's name for it is "partial 16S ribosomal RNA". It matches the Rfam family "Bacterial small subunit ribosomal RNA", at positions 354 to 796 of the family's 1533-position model. The record is from RNAcentral.